Molecule: ribosomal RNA, 454 nt
Filed under: uncultured organism
Description: partial 16S ribosomal RNA
Rfam family: Bacterial small subunit ribosomal RNA
Source: RNAcentral
CGUACACUCCUACGGGAGGCAGCAGUGGGGAAUAUUGGACAAUGGGCGCAAGCCUGAUCCAGCCAUGCCGCGUGAGUGAUGAAGGCCCUAGGGUUGUAAAGCUCUUUCACCGGUGAAGAUAAUGACGGUAACCGGAGAAGAAGCCCCGGCUAACUUCGUGCCAGCAGCCGCGGUAAUACGAAGGGGGCUAGCGUUGUUCGGAUUUACUGGGCGUAAAGCGCACGUAGGCGGACUAUUAAGUCAGGGGUGAAAUCCCGGGGCUCAACCCCGGAACUGCCUUUGAUACUGGUAGUCUUGAGUUCGAGAGAGGUGAGUGGAAUUCCGAGUGUAGAGGUGAAAUUCGUAGAUAUUCGGAGGAACACCAGUGGCGAAGGCGGCUCACUGGCUCGAUACUGACGCUGAGGUGCGAAAGCGUGGGGAGCAAACAGGAUUAGAAACCCGGGUGGUCCCAUGA